This is a long non-coding RNA of Rhinichthys klamathensis goyatoka, 149 nucleotides long. RefSeq lists it as uncharacterized. The transcript is spliced from 2 exons. Lineage: Eukaryota; Metazoa; Chordata; Actinopteri; Cypriniformes; Leuciscidae. The record is from RefSeq and is a predicted model, not a curated record.
GUAAUAUUUAGCUAUGUUUUUUAAUAUAUCGUAACUUAUAGAUAUUUUGAAAAAUUUAAUGUGCACUUAACUGCCUGAGAAAAUAAGCUUUGAUUUGAAAGUGUAAUUGCUAACCUCACAAGGAGUUUCAAAUCAUGUACAUAUACAAC